CGGCCCGACGGUACCACCAGAGGAGCACCGGCUAACCCUGUGCCAGCAGCCGCGGUAAUACAGGGGGGUGACAAGCGUUGUUCGGAAUUAUUGGGGCGUAAAGCGCGUGUAGGCGGGCCACUAAGUCUGGUGUGAAAUCCCUCGGCUUAACCGAGGACGUGCAUUGGAUACUGGUGGCCUUGAGUCCUGGAGAGGGUAGCGGAAUUCCCAGUGUAGAGGUGAAAUUCGUAGAUAUUGGGAGGAACACCGGUGGCGAAGGCGGCUACCUGGACAGUGACUGACGCUGAGACGCGAAAGCAUGGGUAGCAAACAGGAUUAGAUACCCUGGUAGUCCAUGCCGUAAACGAUGGGUGCUAGUUGGUGCGGGUAUUGACCCCUGCGCUGACGAAGCUAACGCGUUAAGCACCCCGCCUGGGGAGUACGGCCGCAAGGCUAAAACUCAAAGGAAUUGACGGGGGGC
Molecule: ribosomal RNA, 460 nt
Filed under: uncultured bacterium
Lineage: Bacteria
Description: bacterial SSU rRNA
Rfam family: Bacterial small subunit ribosomal RNA
Source: RNAcentral